This is a long non-coding RNA of Rana temporaria (common frog), 466 nucleotides long. RefSeq lists it as uncharacterized. Lineage: Eukaryota; Metazoa; Chordata; Amphibia; Anura; Ranidae. The record is from RefSeq and is a predicted model, not a curated record. The transcript is spliced from 2 exons.
AUUUUACAGAAAAUAACAGCGCUGAAGAUUGAAAAUGGAAAGGGCACCCGUGGCUGGCGGUGAAGCCAUAUGUCUGUCUGGAGCUGUACUGUUUGUGAAUGCUGAUGAUGUGAUCUUGAUGGAAGUCUCCACUCCACUUAUCUACCGAAAUUGUAAUGACGGCCUUAAGGAGUCAUAUGCGCCUUGCUGAAUCCUACUUGCUGUUAAGGGGUCGAGCAUUGAUGUGGAAGAGAACUAGGACUAGCUCUGGAGUCCCCGAGAGACACAAAAAGCCAGUUGCUGAUUUAACCUGCCAGUGCCCCCGUAAGCUGAGGAAAGCCAUACUAUCAAACUUUAAAGCAACAAAAAUGUCAUGUUGCGUCCUUGGACUGUGGAACUCUGGGUUAAUAGGCUUAAAAUGUGCCAUAUUUCAUAUACUUGAUAAACCUUUCUGUAGCCUUAUUUGCCUAAUAAAAUCUCAAAUUAA